GGGCCAUAAAAAAGAAUAGGUUUGUUUGCCCAAACCCUACCUACCCAGAAAAAAGCUGCCUACUCAAAUUCUUUUAUUGUCCUGAUUUGAAGAAGUUUUUUUUUUUUAUCAGAUAGCCAUGAAGAUUAAUAAACAUCCGAUACUUCAAUUUCUUAAAAAAAAAAAAAAAAAAAAAAAAAAACUUCAAUUUUUAAAAAAAAAAAAAAAAAAAAAAAAAAAGAAAAUGCCUACCUACCUACCCACUGUCUCAACCUUGAGUUAGGGUUUUGGCAAACCAAAAUAUUUUUAAUUGUGGC
This 296-nucleotide long non-coding RNA is filed under the name Mytilus galloprovincialis (Mediterranean mussel). Lineage: Eukaryota; Metazoa; Mollusca; Bivalvia; Mytilida; Mytilidae. The record is from RNAcentral.